UACGUAGGGUCCGAGCGUUGUCCGGAAUUACUGGGCGUAAAGAGCUCGUAGGUGGUUUGUCGCGUUGUUCGUGAAAACUCACAGCUCAACUGUGGGCGUGCGGGCGAUACGGGCAGACUGGAGUACUGCAAGGGAGACUGGAAUUCCUGGUGUAGCGGUGGAAUGCGCAGAUAUCAGGAGGAACACCGGUGGCGAAGGCGGGUCUCUGGGCAGUAACUGACGCUGAGGAGCGAAAGCGUGGGGAGCGAACAGG
This 253-nucleotide ribosomal RNA is filed under the name uncultured bacterium. RNAcentral describes it as "partial 16S ribosomal RNA". It matches the Rfam family "Bacterial small subunit ribosomal RNA", at positions 524 to 776 of the family's 1533-position model. The record is from RNAcentral.